GGCGGACGGGUGAGUAAUGCUUGGGAAUAUGCCUUAUGGUGGGGGACAACAGUUGGAAACGACUGCUAAUACCGCAUGAUGUCUACGGACCAAAGUGGGGGACCUUCGGGCCUCACGCCAUAAGAUUAGCCCAAGUGGGAUUAGCUAGUUGGUGAGGUAAUGGCUCACCAAGGCAACGAUCCCUAGCUGGUUUGAGAGGAUGAUCAGCCACACUGGGACUGAGACACGGCCCAGACUCCUACGGGAGGCAGCAGUGGGGAAUAUUGCACAAUGGGCGCAAGCCUGAUGCAGCCAUGCCGCGUGUGUGAAGAAGGCCUUCGGGUUGUAAAGCACUUUCAGUAAGGAGGAAAGGUUAAGUGUUAAUAGCACUUAGCUGUGACGUUACUUACAGAAGAAGCACCGGCUAACUCCGUGCCAGCAGCCGCGGUAAUACGGAGGGUGCGAGCGUUAAUCGGAAUUACUGGGCGUAAAGCGUAC
This 477-nucleotide ribosomal RNA is filed under the name uncultured Pseudoalteromonas sp. RNAcentral's name for it is "bacterial SSU rRNA". It matches the Rfam family "Bacterial small subunit ribosomal RNA", at positions 97 to 570 of the family's 1533-position model. Lineage: Bacteria; Pseudomonadati; Pseudomonadota; Gammaproteobacteria; Alteromonadales; Pseudoalteromonadaceae. The record is from RNAcentral.